Molecule: ribosomal RNA, 253 nt
Filed under: uncultured bacterium
Lineage: Bacteria
Description: partial 16S ribosomal RNA
Rfam family: Bacterial small subunit ribosomal RNA
Source: RNAcentral
UACAGAGGGGGCAAGCGUUAUUCGGAAUUAUUGGGCGUAAAGGGCGCGUAGGCGGCUUGGCAAGUGGAUGGUGAAAUCCCUCGGCUUAACCGAGGGACUGCCGUCCAAACUGCUUAGCUUGAGACCGGGAGAGGUGAGUGGAAUUCCCAGUGUAGCGGUGAAAUGCGUAGAUAUCUGGAAGAACACCAGUGGCGAAGGCGGUCAACUGGCCCGUAACUGACGCUGAGGCACGAAAGCGUGGGGAGCGAACAGG